GCGGCUGUAGUCUAGUGGUUAGGAUUCGAGCCUUCCAAGCUCGCGACCUGGGUUCAAAUCCCGGCAGCCGCA
Molecule: transfer RNA, 72 nt
Filed under: archaeon
Lineage: Archaea
Description: tRNA-Gly
Rfam family: tRNA
About the family: Transfer RNA (tRNA) molecules are approximately 80 nucleotides in length. Their secondary structure includes four short double-helical elements and three loops (D, anti-codon, and T loops). Further hydrogen bonds mediate the characteristic L-shaped molecular structure. tRNAs have two regions of fundamental functional importance: the anti-codon, which is responsible for specific mRNA codon recognition, and the 3' end, to which the tRNAs corresponding amino acid is attached (by aminoacyl-tRNA synthetases). tRNAs cope with the degeneracy of the genetic code in two manners: having more than one tRNA (with a specific anti-codon) for a particular amino acid; and 'wobble' base-pairing, i.e. permitting non-standard base-pairing at the 3rd anti-codon position.
Source: RNAcentral